RNAcentral lists this ribosomal RNA (468 nucleotides) under uncultured bacterium. RNAcentral's name for it is "partial 16S ribosomal RNA". It matches the Rfam family "Bacterial small subunit ribosomal RNA", at positions 28 to 507 of the family's 1533-position model. The record is from RNAcentral.
GACGAACGCUGGCGGCGUGCUUAACACAUGCAAGUCGAACGGAAAGGCCCUGCUUUUGUGGGGUGCUCGUGUGGCGAACGGGUGAGUAACACGUGAGUAACCUGCCCUUGACUUUGGUAUAACUUCAGGAAACUGGGGCUAAUACCGGAUAGGAGCUCCUGCUGCAUGGUGGGGGUUGGAAAGUUUCGGCGGUGGGGUAUGGACUCGCGGCUUAUCAGCUUGUUGGUGGGUUAGUGGCUUACCAAGGCUUUGACGGGUAGCCGGCCUGAGAGGGUGACCGGCCACAUGGGGACUGAGAUACGCCCCAGAAUCCUACGGGAGGCAGAAGUGGGGAAUAUUGCAAAAUGGGAGGAAGCCUGAUGCAGCAACGCCGCGUGCGGGAUAACGGCCUUCGGGUUGAAAACCGCUUUCGCCUGUGACGAAGCGUGAGUGACGGUAAUGGGUAAAGAAGCACCGGCUAACUACGUG